AUACAUAUCUCCUCCUAUCAGAAAAUCAUCUGCUAAUAUCCGUUCUUAUUGUUUUAAUAUCUGAUAUGUCCUUUAUUUGAGGACUGUAUAUUAAAUUGAUUUUUGAAACAGGGGGAUGGAAUAGGAGCUUGCUCUAUCCACCCCAUGCAUCGAUCUGGUAUUGCAGUGCCUCCAGGAACGGGAAAAAAAAA
Molecule: small nuclear RNA, 191 nt
Filed under: Chelonia mydas (Green sea turtle)
Lineage: Eukaryota; Metazoa; Chordata; Testudines; Cheloniidae
Description: U2 spliceosomal RNA
Rfam family: U2 spliceosomal RNA
About the family: U2 is a small nuclear RNA (snRNA) component of the spliceosome (involved in pre-mRNA splicing). Complementary binding between U2 snRNA (in an area lying towards the 5' end but 3' to hairpin I) and the branchpoint sequence (BPS) of the intron results the bulging out of an unpaired adenosine, on the BPS, which initiates a nucleophilic attack at the intronic 5' splice site, thus starting the first of two transesterification reactions that mediate splicing.
Source: Rfam by way of RNAcentral